This is a long non-coding RNA of Sarcophilus harrisii (Tasmanian devil), 2912 nucleotides long. The record is from Ensembl. NCBI's taxonomy places the organism in Eukaryota, Metazoa, Chordata, Mammalia, Dasyuromorphia, Dasyuridae.
CUCGUGUUUUUAGAAGGGAGACAUGGGAGGAAGGAGUCCCGGGGGCACGUCCAGCCAAACCUAAGCUCGUUUUUAUUCUGAGGACCCUCUUGUGCAAUGUUAUCGUUUAAAGAAGAGCACGGGGCUUUUGCCUUGCCUGCUUUCUGUGGCAAACUGCUGGUACAAGCAAGUUUUCCAAGCGCGCCCGCGGCUGGAGGCCGGCUCGGAUGCGCGGUGGGCAGUGCAAGAAGGGCCGGGCAGCGGGCCCGGCGGGCAGCGGGCCCGGCGGGCAGCGGGCCCGGCGGGCAGCGGGCCCGGCGGGCAGCGGGCCCGGCGGGCAGCGGGCCCGGCGCGCAGCGCGAGGGGCACCCGAGAGACAUCUCGGCCUCUGCAGGCUUGGCCCUCAUUUUUCCGCGCAGAGGGCUGGGUCGCCGCACGAACUCCCGGGACUCAAGCCGCGUCCCGGCCCAGCCCGGGGCCGACAAGUGGAGCUGCUUCUCCCCGGGCCCGGCAGCAGGAAAGGCGGCCGGCUGCUGUCCAACGCGCACCGGCCUCGCUCAGCGCUCGGCUCCCCAGCUGCGGGGCAGCCGCUCCCCCCGCGCCUCCGGCCGCCCUGUCGGGCCCAUCUGGGUCACGUUUCCCGAGCCCGGACAGCGCUUCCCGGGUUCUCCAAGGUUCUAGCGCCCGUACCUGCCCGGCGGGAUCGGGGAGGGAAAUAAGAGAAAAGUUCCAGGACAAGUCUGAACAUCUUUACCAUGGCUUCAGCACCUCCUCAUGAAAAACAUGCUAAAACUCCACACUUGGCACCAGAUAAACAGAGCCUGUUGUUUUGUCCCAAAUCAAAGGUCCACAUUCACCGAGGAGAGAUCUCAAAGAUCAUCCGUGAAUGUAAAGAAGAGAGUUUCUGGAAAAGAGCUCUCCCUUUGUCCUUGGUAGGGAUGCUUGUUACUCAAGGACUAGUCCACAGAGGUUAUUUAGCAUCAAACCCAAGAUUUGGAUCUUUGCCAAAAGUGGCAAUUGCCGGCAUCUUGGGAUUUGGCUUGGGAAAGUUGUCAUACAUAGGAGCGUGCCAGAACAAAUUUCACACCAUAGAAUUUGAACUCCGUGGGGCAGGUUUUGGUCCAGGCCACAACAGGCACUGCCUUUACACCUGUGAAGACUGCAAAAUAAAGCAUGAAUUGAAUCAGAAGAGCGGGUCACAGGCCUCUGCUUCCUAAAGUGGUACCCGUGCCUUUGAAGCCUUCCCAGACCUUUGAAUUUCUAUGUAUUUCAUGUUUUCUUUGAACCUUCACAUAAAAUAUAUGUACCAGACUGGAAUGAUAUGUAUGCUCCUCUGUGCUUGUCAAUAUGCUUGUCUUAUACAUUUAACCAUGAUAUUAAAUCUUAAUAUAGUGAGAUUCUCAACUUAAGGAUAAAGCUUUUCAUCUGAGUAUUAUGGAGAAGAAAACAGCACUCCUGUUUUUCAGUUUAGGAUAAAGCUUUUCAUCUGAGAAUUGUGGGUUUUCUGCUAUUUUAAAAGCAUGUUGGAUCAGAGUUUAUAAGAGAAGUAAGAUCUUCUCAAGUCUUCCUCAAGUAAUGUUAUCUGACUUCUCUCUAUUGCUCCAGUACUCUGUUGAAUGGGGAAAAUGAGAUAUAAUUAUGUAAAGAAAUGUACUGGGGCUGGGGUGCUAAUAUGGCAGCAGAAGGAAAAGGGCGGGAGGUGCCUUCUAAAAUUUGAGAGCCUGAAUUUUUUUAUGCAAACCAAUGUUUGGAAAAUUAGAGUAUGAAUACUCUAAUUUUGGACUCUGGAGAUGAUUUCAUGGCAAGAUACGAAGGUGAUGCUUUAUAAGUGACUUCUGCCCUUCCUGACUUGAAUUUUUGAAAAUGUUUGUUCUCUUUAAGUAACCUUCAAUGACUUUAUAUCCUAUCCAGCACUUGAGCAGUUAUCUAGCUUAGGAAACUAUUAUUUCAUUGCGCUGCUAAUGGACUGAAUUAGAAAUAAUUUGCAAAAAUAUUUAACAUAUUUCCAAGGAAGUAGUCGAGGUUCUGGGAGAAAUAGUGAAAGAAUCACUUCCUUCCUCCGAGCAUCUUUAGACUUCACAGCUGGUUUCUGGGAGGUAUUUUAGCUUAUGGCCCAGGGCUUUUUGGCUGUGAAAGGUUAAGUUUUUCAUGUUAGUAUCUGUUUUCAUGUCAUAAUGUAUCUUGAAAUCUUGACCACAAAAACAGAAAAACUUUAUUCAGCUUUAAAGAUCUCUUUAAUAGGUAUUUUAGAAAAGAGGAAAAAAUGUCGAAAAGAUAUUUUAAAAAAUUCAAGCAUCUUUAGAUUGUAACCUGUUUUUCAAUAAAUAAAGCUCUCUAAAUCAGAACAUGAAGCUAAUCUCUCUUUCUUGCUUCUUGGAUGCCAUUUAGGACUUGGCAGUGAUAACUUGCAUAGUGAGUCAGUGGCAACUGACAACUCUAUCUCUGGGCUGUUGGCACAGCACAGAGUGUAGAACACAAUGUGGAACUGGGCAGAUUUUGUCUCCUGCUCCAUAGAAAAUAAGCACACAGGUGCCAGAAAAAUUUAACACUGUUAAAUAGCACCUCCAAGUCAUGGGGCUAAAAUUGGAAUCGGGGCAUGUGGGGCACCAGGCAGAUGAGACCAUUGGAAAAAGUAUCCCUUGCUAAAGAGAUGUGACAUCUUAAUAGCUCUUCUCAAUCAAAUUCAACUCUAUUUUUGAACUGCCCUCUGUCCCUACAUAGCCAUGGUAUUAAAGUAAAUCUGCUACAGUGAUUAGUUCUAGCAUGGGGCUUCUUAAUAUAGGAUCUGUAGACUCGCCUGGAAUUCUGGCAGAUUUCAGGGAAUCUGUGCAAUUUUAUGGAGGGGGGGGAAAUCACAUUUUUAUUUUUACUAACUUCUAGGUGAAAUUUAGUGUCUUUUUCAGUUAUUUAAAUUUACCUUAUUUCUAAGUUAC